UUUUUUUUUGUUCUUUUUAUUUAUUUUCUUUUCUGUUUUAAAUCAUUUUAAAUUAUCUAGGCAUUUUAUAAAAAUGUGUUUAUUACACCAUAUUUACUUAAGCAAAAUAUGGCACCGUCCGAACAUUUUUGUUUAAUAUUUUGAAAGCUUUUGUCGUUUGACUUAGUUAGGAUUUAAAUUUGAAUUGGUUUCGAAUUAACCCGAGAUUAACUACAGUGACAGAGGUGACGUGUCACCAUUAACGUGAGAUUACUGUAACAUGAUUAUCCGGGCGUCACACCUGCCGAGUUAUGCUGAUGCCCCUUGGUGUUGCCGUUCUUCUUCCCUUUCCCCGGUUUGUCCUCCUCUAACCCAGGGUCUUUGGUAUUAUCUGAAUCGGCAUAUUUAACUAAAGCGGCCAUAAGCGUUGCCAUAUCUUUGCAGUGACAUUUGAGCCUUCCUAACUUCUGUUUUAGCGAUAGAAACCGGCAAUUGCCUUCCAAUGUUAACAUUGUUGUGUCCGCAUUGAUGCGAUCCGAUGAAUGCAGAAUAGCUGAGACCCGCUUCACCCAAUGGGUUGUAGACUCCCCAUCCUCUUGAACACAAGCGGCCAGGUCCACAAUCGACAUAGGCUGCUUACAAGUAUCCUUAAAAUUCUGGAUAAACCGGUGUUUUAACUCGGCCCAUGAUCCGACAGAGUUAACUGCUAAGCUCUUUAACCAAGUACGAGUUGUCCCCUCCAACAUCAUGGUGAAGUAUUUAGCGCACACUGCUUCAUCCACAUCCAACAUCUCCAUUGCCAUCUCAUAACUUUCAACCCAUGACUCUAGUUGCAAAUCGGCGGUGUAAUUGGGCACCUUAUGAGGGCCUUUAAAAUCCUUGGGCAGUCACACAUUACGUAAAGCGGGGGUGAGACAUGGCACCCCUAAGGAACUAAAGACCACACCUGGCUCCACUAAAGUGGUAGGGUGAACCGGAGUAGGUUGACGAGCUUCAUGCAGAGCUGCUAAAUCGGCCUCUCGACGUGCACGACCAUGAUCCACCACAUCCUGCGCAUUAGCACCUCCACCAGCCGGGUUGUGCCCUCGCGGCGAGUUACGGCGACGUGCACUGCUUGAUACGGCCGGUUCAUCCUCAACAUGUCCGUUGUAGCUCCGGCUCGGGCGGGGGGGUGGAAUGAAUCCUCUCGUAACUAUGUGAAUAAGCCUGCUGCUGGUUUAAAGCUGUUUGAAGGGGCUCUCUAGCCCGUCGUGCCUCAAUCGCAACUGGUGACUUGCCAUCGGUUGGGAGGGCUGCCAAUCGUGAAGCGGCGGCCACAAUGUUGUCCAACGGGUUGGAGUAAUGCCCUGAGGGCGUCGGAACAUACUGCGGCACAAUGUUGUUUUGACGAGGCGGGUCCAUCAUGCGCGGCUGAACCGGCGCUCCUGUUCCCGGCGCCUCCGUCCAGUUUAACAUUGGCUGGUUACUAGUUCCUGCUCCUGGCGUGUUGAAGAGAUUUCUUGGCUCAUAACCCGGCAGGAGAUGCGACCGGUAUCUUCUUCUCAUGACUUCAUCUGAGGCAUUCUGAUCCAGCCGAAGCCGGUAAGCCUGCGCUUCCAACUCGGCCUGUUCUGUAGCCAUCUUAGCAUUCUCUGCCGCUAGGUCUGCUUUAGCCUGAGUUAUCUGAUCUUUCACCUUUGCAAUCUCCGCAUUGUGCUGAUCCCGGGCUGCUGCGUCUGAUACGUCUCCGUCGUAUCUACUUUUCCAAACACUUUUGCCCUUGUUUUGGACUCUAACUUGUAUGAUUUGAAUGGAACUAACCCGGACUGACGCUGUUUUCAGCAGAAUUGCCAUGAUGUUGUUUUAUGUGCAGAAAACAAAUAUUCUCGAAAUGACCUGAAACUCCACGGAACAUCUUAGAAAAAAUAAUAAAAAAUCCUCGCCAAAGAUGAAGACCAGGGGGCCCACACCCUGUCCACGAGGGUGCCCCCCCUAGGGUGCACCCCCCUACCUCGUGGGCCCCCUGGAUGCCCUCCGACGCCAACUCCAACUCUAUAUAUUUGCUUUCUGAGAGAGAAAAAUAGAGAGAAGAAAUCAUCGCGUUUUACGAUAUAGAGCCGCCGCCAAGCCCUAAAACCUCUCGGGAGGGCUGAUCUGGAGUCCGUUCGGGGCUUCGGAGAGGGGGAUUCGUCGCCGUCGUCAUCAUCAACCAUCCUCCAUCACCAAUUUCAUGAUGCUCACGUCCGUGCGUGAGUAAUUCCAUCGUAGGCUUGCUGGACGGUGAUGGGUUGGAUGAGAUUUAUCAUGUAAUCGAGUUAGUUUUGUUAGGGUUUGAUCCCUAGUAUCCACUAUGUUCUGAGAUUGAUGUUGCUAUGACUUUGCUAUGCUUAAUGCUUGUCACUAGGGCCCGAGUGCCAUGAUUUCAGAUCUGAACCUAUUAUGUUUUCAUGAAUAUAUGUGAGUUCUUGAUCCUAUCUUGCAAGUCUAUAGUCACCUACUAUGUGUUAUGAUCCCGCAACCCCAAAGUGACAAUAAUCGGGACCACUCCCGGUGAUGACCAUAGUUUGAGGAGUUCAUGUAUUCACUAUGUGCUAAUGCUUUGUUCCGGUUCUCUAUUAAAAGGAGGCCUUAAUAUCCCUUAGUUUCCAAUAGGACCCCGCUGCCACGGGAGGGUAGGACAAAAGAUGUCAUGCAAGUUCUUUUCCAUAAGCACGUAUGACUAUAUACGGAAUACAUGCCUACAUUACAUUGAUGAAUUGGAGCUAGUUCUGUGUCACCCUAUGUUAUGACUGUUACAUGAUGAACCGCAUCCGGCAUAAUUAUCCAUCAUUUAUCUAGUGCCUACGAGUUUUCCAUAUACUGGUUUAUGCGUAUUUACUUUCCCGCUGCUACUGUUACAAUCACUACAAAAUACCAAAAACAUUACUUUUGCUGUCUUUACUUUUGUUUCCGCUACCACCACUAUCAUAUUACUUUGCUACUAAACACUUUGCUGCAGAUACUAAGUUUCCAGGUGUGGUUGAAUUGACAACUCAGCUGCUAAUACUUGAGAAUAUUCUUUGGCUCCCCUUGUGUCGAAUCAAUAAAUUUGGGUUGAAUACUCUACCCUCAAAAGCUAUUGCGAUCCCCUAUACUUGUGGGUUAUCAAGACCAAUUUCUGGCACCGUUGCCGGGGAGCAUAGCUCUAUUCUUUGAGUCACUUGGGAUUUAUAUCUGCUGGACACUAUGAAGAACUUGAGAGAUCCAAAAACCAAUAUAUCCCUCAACUACGAGGGGAGGUAAGGAACUGCCAUCUAGCUCUGCACUUGAUUCACCUUCUGUUAUGAGUAAGUUUGCGACACCUACACCUGCUUCUGCUAUUCGUUCCGAUAUGUUGCAUGUUAUUGAUGAUGCCACUUCUACUAUGCAUGAUACUUAUGAUGAAAUUGCUUCUAUGCCUGAUACUACUGUGCCCCUUGGUGAAUUUCUUGAUGAACAAAUUGCUAGGGCUAGAGAAAAAGAAAUUAUUGAAUCUGAAUAUGAUGAUGAAAGUGAUGAUGAAAAUAUGCCUGCUAUUCCCGAGGGAUAUCUUUUUGAUAUGGAAUCUUCUGCCGCUAUUUUAGCUUGCAAAGAUAGAUAUGAGCUUAAGAGGUUCUUAGUUAAAUUGAACAAAGAAUCACUUAGAGAUAAAAUGAAACCUGACCCUGCUUUUGCUACUUCACCUAUAUGUGUUCCUGAUAAAGAUUAUGAAUUCUCUGUUGAUCCUGAUAUAAUUACUUUGGUGGAAUCUGAUCUGUUUUAUGGCUAUGAAUCUGAAACUAUUGUGGCACAUCUUACUAAGUUAAAUGAUAUAGCUGCCCUAUUCACUAAUGAUGAGAGAUCGCGUUACUUCCAUAUACUCAAAUUAUUCCCGUACUCAUUAAAGGGUGAUGCUAAGGUAUGGUUUAACUCUCUUGAUCUUGGUUGUGUGUGUAGUCCCCAGGAUAUGAUUUAUUACUUCUCUGCUAAAUAUUUCCCUGCUCAUAAGAAACAAGCUGCUUUGAGGGAAAUAUACAACUUCGUGCAAAUUAAAGAAGAGAGUCUCCCACAAGCUUGGGGGGGCUUCUCAAGUUACUUAAUGCUUUUCCUGAUCAUCCUCUUAAGAAACCCGAAAUACUUUAUAUCUUUUAUAAUGGACUAACCGAUGCUUCCAGAGAUGACCUGGAUAGUUGUGCUAGUUCUCUUUUCAGGGAAAGAACACCGGUUGAAGCUGAAAUUCUAUUGAAUAAUAUGUUGACAAAUGAAAAUAAUUGGGCACCUCCUGAGCCAACUCCUGCUCCAAUUACUGAGCCUAUUCUUAAAACAACUCCAAAGAAGAGAGGUGUUCUAUUCCUCAGUCCCGAAGAUAUGCAAGAGGCAAAGAAAUCUAUGAAAGAAAAAGGUAUUAAAGCUGAAGAUGUUAAGAAUUUACCUCCUAUUGAAGAAAUACAUGGUCUUAAUAUACCGCCUGUUGAAGAAACAUAUGAUCUCAAUUCUUUAUUUACUGAAGAACCUCCUGAUCCCGAUAUCCCGACACGGGUAGUAAAGGUAAAUUCUCUCUAUAGAUAUGAUAAAGCUGAAGUCCCUCCUACUAAAAUUGCUAGUCAGUGCUUGGAUGAGUUUGAUAACUUUAUGUUUAAGCAAGACGACUUCAAUGCUUAUUUUGGUAGACAAUUAUAAGAAAAUGCUUACAUGAUUAGACGCUUGGGUGAUUAUAUGGCUAAUAUUAAAGGUGAACUUAAACUUGUUAGCAAACAUGCUUCUAUGGUUACCACUCAAGUAGAACAAGUACUUAAGGCUCAAAAAGAAGUGCUUGAUGAAAUGAAUAGUAAGAAAAAUGAUUAUGCUGUUAGAGUGGCUACUAGAACUGGUAGAAUGACUCAGGAACCUUUGUAUCCUGAAGGCCACCCUAAGAGAAUCGAGCAAGAUUCUCAAAGAAAUGAUAUUGAUGUUCCUAGUUCUUCUAAAAAGAAGAGAAGAAAAACGAUAGAACUGUGCAAACUUCUAGUGAACCUAUUGCUGAACCACCUGAUAAUCCAAAUGAUAUCUCUAUGUCUGAUGAUGAAACAAAAUUUGGUAAUGAAAAUGAACCUAAUGAAAAUAUUAAUGAUGAUGUUCAUGAUGAUGCUCAACCUAGUAAUGACAAUGAUGUAGAAAUUGAACCUGUUGUUGAUCUUGAUAACCCACAAUCAAAGAAUCAACGUAAUGAUAAAAGAGACUUUGUUGCUAGGAAACAUGGUAAAGAAAGGGAACCUUGGGUUAAGAAACCCAUGCCUUUUCCUCCAAAACCAUCCAAGAAAAAGGAUGAUGAGGAUUUUGAGCGCUUUGCUGAAAUGAUUAGGCCUAUCUUUUUGCGUAUGCGAUUAACUGAUGUGCUCAAAACGAAUCCUUAUGCUAAAUAUAUGAAGGAUAUCAUUACUAAUAAAAGAAAGAUACCGGAAGCUGAAAUUUCCACCAUGCUUGCUAAUUAUACUUUUAAGGGUGGAAUACCAAAGAAACUUGGAGACCCCAGAGUACCUACUAUACCUUGCUCCAUUAACAGAAAUUAUAUUAAAACUGCUUUAUGUGAUCUUGGAGCCGGUGUUAGUGUUAUGCCUCUCUCUUUAUAUCAUAGACUUGACUUGAAUAAGCUGACACCUACUGAAAUAUCUUUGCAAAUGGCUGAUAAAUCAACUACUAUACCUGUCGGUAUCUGUGAGGAUGUGCCUGUUGUGGUUGCAAACGUUACUAUUUUAACGGACUUUGUUAUUCUUGAUAUUCCCGAGGAUGAUAGUAUGUCUAUUAUUCUUGGAAGACCUUUUCCUAAUACUGCAGGGGCUGUUAUUGAUUGCAACAAAGGCAAUGUUACUUUUCGUGUUAAUGGUAAUGAUCAUACGGUACACUUUCCGAGGAAACAACCUCAAGUUCAUAGUAUCAACUCCAUUGGAAAAAUUCCAUCGAUUAUAUUUGGAGGUUUUGAAUUUCCUCUUCCUACUGUCAAGAAGAAAUAUGAUAUACUUAUUAUUGGGGAUGUGUGUAUCCCCGUUGAGGUAACGUAGUGUUAUUCGAAAUUUCUCUGGUUUCAUGUUAAUCGGAAUGAGUUUGUUAACAAGACUUGAUCAACCUUGUUAGUGGAUUCCUUUUGAUGAGCAUGAGAUGGAUGAAACUAGAAGCACCACCUUAUGUACCUUCUCUUUAUUUUCUGUUAAUUAGUAGAAAUAAAGUAAAAAAUAGUAUUUUUCUGUCUGUUUCUUGACUUAUCCGUGCAAUAUAAAAAUAUCUCAAAAAUAAAAGUCCUUAGAAUGACAUGCCAAUUUAAUAUGAUUUUUUUGGGAAUAUUUGAGGAUUUACUGUGCAAAAAUUACCGCGGGAGGAGCUGCCACCUGGCCACGAGGGUGGUGGGCGCGCCCCCCCUCUAGGGCGUGCCCCCUUGCCUCGUGGGCCCAAGGUGGCCCUCCUCCACUUAUCCCAGCACCCAUCUUCUUCCUCUGUCUCACUAACCCAAGAAACCAACUCAAGCACGAGUUUCAGCCACUUUUGCUGUGAUUUUCGAUCUCCUUGCUCAAAGCACCUCUCGCAAAACUGCUUGGGGAGAUUGUUCCUUGGUAUGUGACUCCUCCAUUGGUCCAAUUAGUUUUUGUUCUAGUGCUUUAUUCUUUGCAAAUUUUUGCUGCUUAGGUGACCCUGUUCUUGAGCUUGCAUGUCAAAUUUAUAUGGUCAAAGGUAGUUUUGAUGCAUGAUAUAGGCCCUAGGCACUUGUAGGAGUAGUUGCUAUCAAUAUUAUUGAGUUUGGUUUACUUUUAUUUUGAAGUUACUAAAAAUUUCAGAAUUUUUCAGAAAAUGAUGAGGAGAUUAUUGAGGGGCUCAUCGAGCCAAAGCUCAAAGGAAAAGGCACUGAGGCCUAAGUAUAAUUUGCCGCGCACCACGGAGAUUCGGGCGUGUGAAUGGCCUUCUGAUAAUUUCUUGAGAGCAGCCAGUAUCUAUGAAGAUUUUCAUGAAUUGGCUCACAAUGCAGGCCUCACCAUUUUCCUCCACAACCAAUGCGAUCAGUAUCUCUUACUCACAAAUACCUUUGUGCAAAACUUUCAUUUUCAUUCUAGGAACUCACCACCUACGGUGGAGUUUCAUUUAUAUGAUGAGCAUAAGGAGAUGUCACUUUAUGAUUUUUGUCGGAUUUGUUUAGUCCCUUUUGAGGGCAAGACAGAAGAACCACAUCAUGAUGAUGUGGCUGGGUUUAUUGAUACUAUCACUGUAGGAGAAACUAGGAAGGUUUCCGAUGCACGAAUCACUAGCAUACAUUUUCCUGUUUUACGUUACUUUGCAUUAUUUGCUAGUCAUUGUUUAAUUGGACGCGAAAACUGUGGAAACCUUAGUAUCCCUGAUAUAAUUAUUCUGCUCCACGGUUUAUACAGUGAUAACACUUUUAGUAUGGGCGGUAUUAUUGCUAGACGGUUAAGUAUGAACCAUACCAAAGGCCCCAUCUUUGGAGGCAUCUAUGCUACACGCCUAGCCGUACAUUUUAAUAUACCUAUUAGGCAUGCUGAGAAGGAAGAAAAAGUGUUGCCCCGUGUUUAUCUAGAUCAUAAAAGUAUGGUGGCACAUGAUUUUAUUGUUAAGAAUAGGGCAGCGGAGCUUAAAUAUCAAUUGUUCUUUAACAAACAUCAUCCUGAGACUAUUAUCCUCCCUGCUCCUUCUUUGUUUGAUUUGACUGUAGGCACGUACCUUGUUCCGUUGACGGCUAUUCACGCCUACCGGAACCCUGCACCAGCCGAGGAGCCAGAACCGGAACCACAAUUUGAUCCUUCACGGCAGUCUAACUAUCAGUGGGAUCCGGAGAUGAUUGCCAGCCAGUGGCAAUCGGAGCCAUCUUCUUCCUCAUCACAGUACGACCCCAACAACUAUUAUUAUGGAUAUCAGCCAGGCCAGUCGUGGCAAUAGACCAACUUAGGCCAAAAGCCUAAGCUUGGGGGAGUAUGUAUUUCUCACCAUCAUUACAUUUAUGUUCACACACACUCGUUGCUAGAUGUCGGUGCUCAUACUUUUUCUCUGUAAUAUCCAUGCUAGUUUAGUUUCCUUUUCCUGCUUUCUUCUUGUGUGUUUGUUAAACCUUAACAAAAACAAAAAAAUAGUAGUAGUUUAUUUUUCUGCUGUAGUAGUAAUAAUUAAAAAGAAAACCCAAAAAUAUUUCCCGUUCUUCUUUUGCUUGUUGGGAGCUUUCCCGUGUAAAUAGUUUUAUUUCUUUUCUUUUCUUUGGGGGUCAGUAGGAGAAGACCAUAAUUAAAUUGUUGAAGUGGCUCUUAUAUGCAUUAUUGUUGAUUUAACCAACAGCCCAUAUUGCCUUGUCUUCUCCUGUUUAUUGAAUGCUCGCAGAUUCCAGCUUAGUCCAAUGCACGUACACUCUUAUUAUUAUUCACACCGUUCGGUCGUGCAAGUGAAAGGCAAUUAUGAUGAUAUAUGAUGGACUGACUGAGAUGAGAAAAGCUGGUAUGAACUCGACCUCUUUUGUUUUUGUAAAUAUGAUGAGUCCCUCGUUCUUGAUUCAGCUUAUUAUGAAUAAACAUGUUUGCAAUGACAAUUAGAGAUCGUAGCUGCUUGUGCCAUGCUUGAUUAGCUAUGAGUUAUAAUAAUUUACCUUGUGUGUCAACAUGCUAUUGCGAUGAUUAUGAUGUGGUAUGAUGGGGUGGUAUCCUCCUUUGAAUGAUUUAAGUGACUUGACUUGGCACAUGUUCACGCAUGAAAUUGAAACAAAAUCAACAUAGCCUUCACGAUAUUUAUGUUCAUGGUGGAUUAUAUCCUACUCAUGCUUGCAUCCAAUGUUUAUUAAUUUUAAUGCAUGUACAUGGUUGUUGUCGCUCUCUAGUUGGUCGCUUCCCAGUCUUUUGCUAGCCUUCACUUAUACUAAGCGGGAAUAUUGCUUGUGCACCCAAUCCCUUAAACCCCAAAGUUAUUCCAGAUGAGUCCACUAUACCUUCCUAUAUGCGGUAUCUACCUGCCGUUCCAAGUAAAUUUGUAUGUGCCAAACUCUAAACCUUCAAAUAAACAUUCUGUUUUGUAUGCUCGAAUAGCUCAUGUAUCAACCAAGGCUGUCCUUAUCUUCCGUGUUAGGCGGGUUAUUCUCAAGAGGAGUGGACUCUGCUCCUCACUCACGAGAAAAUGGCUGGUCACCGGGAUGCCCAAUCCCAUGCUUUAUGCAAACUAAAUCAAAAUUAAUUGCAAACAAAACUCCCCCUGGGACCUGAUGUAUGUUGGAGGCACUCGUUGUUUCGAGCAAGCCAUUGAUUGAUGCUUGUUGGUGGAGGGGGAGUAUAAACUUUACCAUUCUGUUUGGGAACCGCCUAUAAUGUGUUUAGCAUGGAAGAUAUCGACAUCUCUUAGUUGCUACGUUGACAAUGAAAGUAUACCGCUCAAAAUACAAUUUAUCUCUAUUGCAAAACCGAGCUCUGGCACUGACGUGGUUCUAAGUCUGACAGUAAUGUAGGGGGUAGGCAUGGAGAGGCAAGAUCUUAGCUAUGGAGUAGUUGUAAGCACAUGAGGUUUACGAGUUCAGGCCCUUCUCGGAGGAAGUAAUAGCCCUAUGUCCCGGAGCCCGGAGGUGGUCGACUGGAUUAUGCGUGUAUGAAUUAUAGGGGUGCGAACCCUUUACACUGAGGAGGGGGUGGCUUACAUAGAGUUCGCCGGACCCCUCCGGCCCUCAGUUAUGCAGGGUUUUAAAUACAUUAAGUUCGGGCGUUACUGGUAACACCCCUAAUAAAGUGCUAUGAUGACCAUAAAAGCUACUUAACGAUCGACCGUUAGCGUGUGGAGUGACUUUAGGUCUCCUGGCCGUCGAGUGGUUGGAUCUUGGUCGAGUGAUUGCUUCUUGGUCGAGUGUCUUCGAGUCUGUCGAGUGGAACACCUCCAAGUCGAUUGAAAGGUGAUUUCUUCUAGAGAUGUCCUUGGGUAGGGCAGUUGGGACAGGUCCAUGACCCUACCCUAGGUACAUAGCUUCAUCAUUAGCCCCCGAAUGGAUCGAGGUUUGAGUGGGGAAGGAGUUGAGAACUUCUCGGACUCAUUUUUCAUGCCAUGAGAAUAUCUUGUUUCGGAUCAAUGAACCUGAGUGAUGACAACAACUUCCUUUUCAGUCGCCUUGAUCCAUUCUUAGUUUUUUGUCGAGUGAGUUUCUUUACUUGAAAAGCUCCGAGUGACGGUGUGGAGGAGAUCUUCCGUUUGACAAGUUGUUCUGAUGCCCACAGAUUUCGCGGGAUUCGAAUUUUGGGAAGCGCGCGGGACGAGGGAGGCCGCAGUAAUCAGAUGGGAUAGGGCGGAGCUGCCUCGAUCUCCGCGCCACCUUUUUCGCCACGUAUCACGCGCACGAUUAUUACGGGAUUUGACAGGACCGUCCGGGCCUACCAGUCAGCCACUCGAAAGCGACCUCAUAUAAGGCGUCGGACCGGGGUUUCUUGAACAGUGCGUUCUCAUUUCCUCUUCUCCUCUUCAGGCUUCUUCGUCGCGCUCGCUCUCACCCCAGUGCUGCCGCUCCGUACGCGUCUCGCCAGCGACGAUGGGGAAGGAGAAGAUGGCGGCUCUGGAGCGGGCGAAGAAGGCGACGGCAAAGGCGAAGGGGAAGGCGACCAGUCGGGGUGGAUCUUCCUCGCGAGCCGGCCUGCCGAAGGGCUGGAUCCAGGGCGACUGGAUCCGCUCAGCGAUCCGCCAAGAAGACCUCAACGACCUAGCCGACGGAGGGCUGAUCCCCCAUGGAUCGGCGCAGCUUCCGGGGAAGGAAUCCGAGCCGCAACCUCGGGAGGGUGAGCGCGUUCUCCUUGCCACCCACGUCGACCGUGGAUUUUCCUUGCCUCCUCACCCUUUCUUUCGGGGAUUUCUGAAUUUCUUUGGGGCACAACUCCACCACUUCACUCCCAACACAAUCGUGUAUCUCACUGCUUUCGUGUCUUUGUGCGAGAAUUUCUUGGGUUGUCGGCCUCACUGGGGUCUUUUCAAGCACAUUUUCACCUGUCGUUCUCAGACGGUGAAAAAGGCCAAUCCGAGUGACAAGAGAACACAAGUGAUUCAGAUGUGCGGGGGUCUUGGUGUUCAGAUGAGAGGGUAAAGUUCCUUUCCAGCCAUGAUUCUUCCCGACUCGGUUCGCGGGUGGCAGUCGACCUGGUUUUACUGCAAAGACCAGCCGACGCCAGGGCAGUCAACUGGCCUCCCUCCUUUUACCAUGGAUCGAGUGAGGAAACCCUCCUCUUUGAAGGUGCUCCCGGAGAAGAAGGCGCAGGUUAGGGUGCUGGUCGAACGAGUGGUCCAGCUUAUCCGUGACGGGGUCACCGGUAUGGAUCUCUUAGAGGUUUUCCUUCGGCGGCGCAUCCAGCCUCUUCAAGCCCGAGACCAUUAGAUGUGGAUGUAUUCGGGUCUUGACGACACCACUCGGAUUCACCCGGAGGAGGUCGAUGACGACACACUGGAGAAGUGGUUGUCGGGCAUAACCGGAAACAAGGACAACCCCAGGGGAGCCAGGAGAGUUCCUCCAUUCGACCAGUCCCAUGAACCAGAAAAGGUCCGAUUUUGAGCUUUUGAUUGUAAUCUGAAUUCAUUCACGCAGCUGUCUAUACUGCGUCGACUGACUUUAUUCUUCCUGCUUUCUUUCAGGCCCUUAUCGAAAUGUAUUCAAUGCCCAACGGAGAGCAAGAGCAAGACCUGGAAGGAGAGGCGAGCGGCGGCGACAGUGGUGAAUGGUACUCUGACAGUGAAGGGGAUGAAGAAAGCGACGACCCAAGUGACAAAGAGGAAGUCGAGUGGCCUCCUCGCGGGGAGAGGCGAUCCAAGGUUGACCAAGAACGACCGAGUGCCCGUGAAAAGGCGAUUGCUCAGGCUGGUCAGUCUUCAAAGCGUCCGCGGACCUCUUCGCCAACCCCAACUGAAAAAGCGUCAAAGCAUCCCAAAGUUGCAGAGCAGAAGCCUCGGAAGGCGUUGCCGAAGAUUAAGAUUGACAUCCCCGUCGCUUCUGCGUGAGUGUCUCCCUUUGUAUUCACUCGACGCCCCGUGCUGUUUGGUUUUUCUUGAUUUAACCAGACGAACUUUGGAACUGGCAGCGCUGCUACUUCCAGGACCUCAGCUUACAGGGACGAGGAUGAGGUGAUGGAGGAUACGGUCACUUCCAAUCUGGGUAUGAUUUCUGACAUUCUGUCUUUAUUUGGUCGACUCAACUGCAAUGUGUACCAUUGGGUGAUGUGAUUUUGGAGAUUGAUCUUUGAACAGCUCCUAACAUUAUUGACCUCCCCGAUGAUGAUGAUGAUGAAGAGCUUGAGAGGCCUUUAACAAGGAAAAAUAGGCAAGCUCCUGCAAGCAAGGUGCCACAGUCAACGCCGAGGGUGGAACCAGUCGUUCAGGACGCUGGUGAUGUCAAUCGGGGUUCUGUUACCUUCAUCAUACCAUUGUCGAGUGCCUUGCCUUCUUCGUCGACUGCUCAAGCCCCUGCCGACCCACCUUCAGUUUUUGCGACCCAUCAUGUCCCAGAGGACGAAGUGAAUGCUGCCAAGGAAGCCAUACGCCAGGCGGGCAUUAUGAUGGAGAAGAUGAAGACGGUGCGGGACGCCAGUCAGGCCGCCUACGACGCCAGCUCGGCUCUCCAAAGCAAUGUUCAGGUUAGUUGGUCACCACUUGUUCUGUUAGGAUAUGCUAUCCGAAGGCUCUCUUUCCGAAAAUCUUUGCAUCUGUACACCCACUGAGUGCGUCGAUUGAAUUUUUGAACUAGCGGGGGCACGCUGAGUGCACCCACUGGGUGUAGUCCCCGAGACUAUGGUGGACUGCUGGCAGUCGACUGUAGUCUUUGUAUUUUGAUUCUUUCACUCGAUCUGGUCUGGCCGCGUCGAGUGUAAACCGAACCGGUAGUUUGUCUCUUCUACUCGGUCUGGGCGAGUGGGAUCAGAACCGGUGGGGGCAAGCCAAGUGCACCCACUGGGUGUAGUCCCCGAGACCGCGGUCGACUGCUGGCAGUCGACUGUGGUCUGAGUUCUUCUUUCUCUCUUUUUUUUACUCCCUGCACUCGACUCCGGCAGGCCGGUCGAGUGUGAUCAGAACCGGUGGGGGCACGCAAAGUGCACCCACUGGGUGUAGUCCCCGAGACUAUGGUGGACUGCGGGCAGUCGACCGUAGUCUUAGUAUUUAUUGUCUUUGUUGUUUUUCGCUGUAAAAUAACUUCUCCUCCCUGAUUGCAGAAAUCUUGUGAUCUUGGAGCUCGCUUUGCUGACUUGGAGAAACAGCAGAUCCAACUAAACCUUGACUUGGAAUUGGCCAAGACAGGGCUACAAAAGGCCAAGGACGACGCCAAUGGUAAGACGAGCUUGUCGACUGGUUUGUCUUAGGCUUGAGUACCCUUCUGCUCUUUCUGAAUCAAGCACCAUUUCUUUGCAGAAAAACUGAGAGAAGCUCUGGCGAAGAAGGAUCAGGACUUGGCUGCUGCUCAGAAGGAAGCUGACGACAGAACCGCUCUGGCUGAACAGAAACUGGCUUCAGUCGGCCAAUUGGAAGAAGAGAACACCAAGAUGAAAUCUGCUCUGAACGAAGCCAACAAGGAGUGCAUGUGCUUGAAGAAGGACAAUCUCAACCUAUACGAGAAGAUGGAAGGCAUCGCUCGCAGGAGGGACGAUCUGGAGAGCUAUCUGAGGAGCCUUGCCAAGAAGUUGUUCAUCAAGCUUGAAGGUAUACAUUUUUUUGUCGACUCAGCAUACGAAAACUAACUUAUCCUCGGAUCAUGAAUGCAGAGUUUUGCCAGAACUUUGAGGAGGAGACUGGGCGGAUUGAGCCAGGUUUGGACCCCAUCAACUCUCCCGUGAAAGACGACACUGCCAUGAAUCUGCUCCGACUGGAAUCCCGCAUCGACGGUGUUGUGGACUAUUUGGCUCGACUGAAGGUCGCCACGUCACGGAUUGACACGGCACUUUGGCUGGGGGCCACACUCCAGAAUGAUCUCGAGUCCCUGAUCACUCGACUUAACGAGAUCCCUGGUCGAGUGCAGGAGUGGAAGAAAUCUUCUGCCCGGUGUGGUGCUGAUGUGGCUCUAUCUUUGGUUCAUGUCCACUGCAAGGAGGUGCGACAAGAUAAGCUGGCAGCAAUCAGGGUCGCCAACACCCAGAGGCAUGACUUCCGAUCUUUUAUGGAGACUUUUACUACUGCAGCCACCCGGAUCGCCGACGGCAUCGACCUGGACGACUUCGUCGAGCCUGCCAGUCCUCCUCCUGUGGAGUGAACAAACUUUUAUGCCCCACCUUAAAUUUGCCUCGGAAUGCCGAGUGGUUUUUGUAACCGUUAAACUCUUUCGGGCUGAAUGCCUGAGCACUUCGAUCUGUGGUCUGGACCCUUUAUGAUUUUAUCUGAACUUGGUUUAUCGUUGAAUAUCUUCAUGAAUUCUCCAUUGAGUGGAACUCGUUCUUCACUCGUGACAACUUUUUGUAUUUGUAGCGCAGCUCCGAAGGAGAAGGUAGCAGUCGACCUGCAUCUCGUCGUCCUUGCGGAGUAGGAUGGAGUGCAUGUUGUAGUUGUGGCAAAGCUCCCAAGGAGAAGGUGGCAGUCGACCUGCACCACGUCGUCCUUACGGAGUAGGAUGGAGCGCACGUUGUAUUUGUGGCGAAGCUCCCAAGGAGAAGGUGGCAGUCGACCUGCACCUCGUCGUCCUUGCGGAGUAGGAUGGAGUGCACGUUGUAUUUAUGGCGAAGCUCCCAAGGAGAAGGUGGUAGUCGAGCUGCACCUCGUCGUCCUUNNNNNNNNNNNNNNNNNNNNNNNNNNNNNNNNNNNNNNNNNNNNNNNNNNNNNNNNNNNNNNNNNNNNNNNNNNNNNNNNNNNNNNNNNNNNNNNNNNNNNNNNNNNNNNNNNNNNNNNNNNNNNNNNNNNNNNNNNNNNNNNNNNNNNNNNNNNNNNNNNNNNNNNNNNNNNNNNNNNNNNNNNNNNNNNNNNNNNNNNNNNNNNNNNNNNNNNNNNNNNNNNNNNNNNNNNNNNNNNNNNNNNNNNNNNNNNNNNNNNNNNNNNNNNNNNNNNNNNNNNNNNNNNNNNNNNNNNNNNNNNNNNNNNNNNNNNNNNNNNNNNNNNNNNNNNNNNNNNNNNNNNNNNNNNNNNNNNNNNNNNNNNNNNNNNNNNNNNNNNNNNNNNNNNNNNNNNNNNNNNNNNNNNNNNNNNNNNNNNNNNNNNNNNNNNNNNNNNNNNNNNNNNNNNNNNNNNNNNNNNNNNNNNNNNNNNNNNNNNNNNNNNNNNNNNNNNNNNNNNNNNNNNNNNNNNNNNNNNNNNNNNNNNNNNNNNNNNNNNNNNNNNNNNNNNNNNNNNNNNNNNNNNNNNNNNNNNNNNNNNNNNNNNNNNNNNNNNNNNNNNNNNNNNNNNNNNNNNNNNNNNNNNNNNNNNNNNNNNNNNNNNNNNNNNNNNNNNNNNNNNNNNNNNNNNNNNNNNNNNNNNNNNNNNNNNNNNNNNNNNNNNNNNNNNNNNNNNNNNNNNNNNNNNNNNNNNNNNNNNNNNNNNNNNNNNNNNNNNNNNNNNNGGGUCGCUCUCCACUCGGUAGGAUUUUUCGAACUUAGGCGAGUACUGGACUGCAGCUAAGCCCCCGAGUGAGAGGCUGGCUCACCACUCGGUAGGAUUUUCAAAUAAUUUGGCGAGUACUGGACUGCAGCUAAGCCCCCGAGUGAGAUGCUGGCUCACCACUCAGUAGGAUUUUCAAAUACUUAGGCGAGUACUGGACUGCAGCUAAGCCCCCGAGUGAGAGGCUAGCUCACCACUCGGUAGGAUUUUCAAACACUUAGGCGAAACGGGUUCGCAGCUAAGCCCCCGAGUGGGAGGCUGGCUCACCACUCAGUAGGAAAUUAUUUUACAAACUUAGGCGAAACGGAUUCAUAGCUAAGCUACCCACUGGGGGAUUUCUCACGCAAACAAAAACGAUAACAAUCGCUGGGAAAAUUACAACGCUCUUGUCUUUAAUAAAUAAACUACAGGAGUUUUUCUUAUUACAUCUCAUUCGAGUGAGAAUUCAAGUAUAAAAGGGGUGGAGCAGCUCCGCAUUCCAGGCUCGUGGCUCAUCAAUCUGGCGAUCGACAUUAUAAAGGAGAUACACUCCAUUGUGGAGGACUCUGGUGACUAUGAAGGGACCUUCCCAAGUAGGAGCGAGUUUGUGUGGUUUCUGCUGAUCCACUCGGAGGACCAAGUCUCCUUCUUGGAAGGCUCGACUCUUCACAUUUCUGGCAUGGAAUCAACGCAAGUCUUGCUGAUAGAUGGUCGAUCGGAUCAUGGCCAUUUCUCUUUCUUCUUCCAGGAGGUCGACUGCGUCCUACCGGGCUUGUUCUGCUUCAGCUUCAGAGUAGAGCUCGACUCGGGGUGCGUUGUGAAGCAGGUCACUCGGCAAAACUACUUUGGCUUCGUAGACCAGAAAGAAUGGGGUUCUUCCAGUCGAUCGGUUCAGGGUUGUCCUCAAUCCCCAAAGAACAAAUGGAAGCUCGUCGACCCAUGCACCUGCUGCGUGCUUGAGAUCGCGCAUCAGUCGGGGUUUCAGUCCUUUGAGAAUUAAGCCGUUUGAUCUUUCCGCUUGUCCAUUCGACUGGGGGUGAGUGACUGAAGCUUAGUCGACUCGUGUGCCUUGAGAGGCGCAAAAGGCUCUGAAUUUGUCAGAAUCGAAGUUUGACCCAUUGUCAGUGAUGAUGCUGUGCGGAACUCCAUAUCUGAAUAUCAACUCUCUGACGAAACUGAUAGCAGUGCAAGCAUCAAGAUUCUUGAUAGGCUUAGCUUCGAUCCAUUUGGUGAACUUGUCGACUGCCACUAGCACAUGAGUGAAACCGCUUCUGCCCGUUCUCAGUGGUCCAACCAUGUCCAGUCCCCAAACAGCAAAGGGCCAGACGAGUGGAAUGGUUUUCAGGGUUGACGCGGGUUUGUGCGACAUAUUGGAGUAAAACUGACAUCCUUCACAUUUGUCGACUAUCUCUUUCGCCAUUUCAUUCGCCCUUGGCCAGUAGAAUCCCGCUCGGUGUGCUUUAACCACAAUGGUCCGAGAGGGCGCAUGAUGACCAUAGGUCCCCGAGUGGAUAUCAUCAAGGAUUAUCUGACCUUCUUCUGGUGUUAUACACUUCUGACUGACUCCAGUCGCGCUUUCUCUAUACAAUUGUCCCUUUAUGACUGUAAAGGCCUUGGAUCGACGGACGAUCUGUUGAGCCUCUUCUUCGUCUUCUGGGAGUUCUUUCCUUAGGAUGUACACGAUGUACGGUACCGUCCAGUCGGGAGUGAUGACCAAAACUUCCAUGAUCAGGUCGACCACAGCUGGAACUUCAACUUCAAUCGGAUCCGUGGCACUUUUUGGCUGCGGGGCUUCUUCAGUGAAGGGAUCCUCCUGAACUGAUGGUGUGUGGAUGUGUUCCAAAAACACAUUGCUGGGGAUGGCUUCUCUUUUGGAACCUAUUUUCGCCAAAUCAUCAGCUGCUUGAUUUUUCAGUCGGGGUAUGUGAUGAAGUUCUAACCCCUCGAAUUUCUUCUCCAGCUUUCUCACUGCAUUGCAAUAACCAGUCAUGGCCGGACUUCUGACGUCCCACUCCUUCAUCACUUGAUUAACCACCAAAUCUGAGUCGCCAUAGACCAUGAGGCGAUGGACGCCGAGUGAAAUGGCCAUGCGCAACCCAUAUAAAAGUGCUUCAUAUUCUGCUUCGUUAUUGGAGGAAUCAAAGUGGAUUUGAAGAACAUAUCUGAGCUUAUCUCCUCGGGGGGAGACCAAUACUACCCCGGCACCAGAACCAUUCAGCAUUUUGGAACCGUCGAAGAACAUGGUCCAAUGCUCCGAGUAAACCUGAGUCGGCAGAUGUUGUUCAAUCCACUCGGCAACGAAAUCUGCUAUUGCUUGGGACUUGAUAGCUUUCUUUGCCUCAAACUUGAUAUCUAGAGGAAGGAGUUCAAUCGCCCAUUUUGCCACUCGACCAGUUGCAUCUCUGUUGUGCAGAAUCUCUGACAAUGGAGCGUCGCUGACAACUGUAAUGGAAUGGUCAGAGAAGUAAUGUGCAACCUUCUUCGUGGUCAUAUAAAUCCCAUAUACAAGCUUCGACGGGGUCAAGACUUCGGAAAUAUAAUAUACUGGGCGCUAAAAUCUGAAGGCUUUUCCUUCUUCUUCCCGCUCGACUGUAAGUACUGUACUGACGACUUGUCCCAUGGCUGCGAUGUAAAGCAGCAAAGGCUCUUUGCUGGUCGGGGCAGCAAGCACCGGCUGGGUGGAGAGCAGAGCUUUGAGCUCUACAAACGUUGCAUCAGCUUCAGGCGUCCACUCGAACUUGUCUGACUUCUUCAUCAAUCGGUAAAGAGGCAAUGCCUUUUCACCGAGAUGAGAGAUGAAUCGACUUAAAGCGGCCAAGCAACCAGUAAGCUUCUAGAUGUCGUGCACUCGCACAGGACUUUUCAUUCAGAGUAUAGUACCGACUUUUUCUGGAUUGAAGUUGAUUCCCCGUUCGGAAACGAGAAAACCGAGUAACUUUCCACCAGGAACUCCAAAUGUGCACUUUGAUGGAUUAAGCUUGAUAUCAUACCUCCUGAGGUUGGCGAAGGUUUCAGCAAGGUCAGUCAGCAGGUCGGAACCUUUCCGUGACUUGACCACAAUAUCAUCCAUGUAUGCUUCCACAUUCCGACUGAUUUGGGUGAGCAAACACUUCUGAAUCAUCCUCAUGAAUGUGGCUCCGGCAUUCUUGAGGCCGAACGGCAUGGUAACAUAACAGAAGCACCCGAAUGGAGUGAUGAAAGCUGUUUUGAUCGGGUCAGGUCCAUACAGACGGAUCUGAUGGUACCCGGAAUAGGCAUCUAAAAAAGACAGUCGCUCACAUCCCGCAGUCGAGUCGACUAUCUGGUCGAUGCGGGGGAGAGGAAAAUGAUCUUUCGGGCAGGCCCGAUUGAUAUGUUUAAAGUCAAUGCACAUGCAAAGUGGCUUGUCCUUCUUGGGGACCAUGACAACGUUGGCGAGCCACUCGGAGUGGUAGAUCUCUCGGAUGAACUCCGCUGCUAAGAGCCGAGCCACCUCCUCACCAAUAGCCUUUCUCUUCUGGACGGCGGACCAUCGGAGAUGUUCUUUGACAGGUUUUACUUUUGAGUCGACUCGUAGGCAGUGCUCAGCCAGCCCCCUGGGAACACCCGGCAUGUCAGAAGGCUUCCAUGCGAAAAUGUCAUAGUUCUCACGGAAGAAUUGAAUGAGCGCUUCUUCCUAUUUGGAGUCGAGUGUUGUUGAGAUAUGAGUCGGAGCAGCACUGGGAUCGGUCGGGUGAAUGUGAGCCGGCUUCAUUUCGCCAAACGAUUGAAAAGCUGAUUCUGUAGUGGGCUUCUUGGCUCGCAACAAAUCACUCGGGUCUGCAGUCUUCUGGUAUUCCUGUAGCUCCACCACUGCCAUCUGAGCAUCAGCGAUCUUUGAACCUUUCUGAAAACACUCUUCUGCUUUCUUCCAAUUGCACGUAACAGUGAUCACACCUUUGGGACCAGGCAUCUUCAAUUUGAGAUACACAUAACAUGGUUGAGCCAUGAAGCGUGCAUAAGCCGGCCUGCCCAAAAUAGCGUGAUAAGCACUCUGGAAAUCCACAACCUCGAACGUCAACUUUUCUUUGCGGUAAUUCUUGGAAUCACCGAAAACCACAUCAAGAGCAAUUUGGCCGAGCGACUCAGCCUUCUUCCCAAGAAUGACUCCAUGGAAACUCAUGUUGCUGGUACUGAGUCUGGACAUCGGAAUGCCCAUCCCUUUCAGCGUCUCAGCAUAUAGUAUGUUCAAACCACUGCCACCGUCCAUCAAGACUUUGGUCAGUCGAGUGCCUUCAACAACUGGGUCGACCACCAAAGCUUGCCUCCUAGGGGUGGCAAUGUGUGUUGGGUGAUCGGACUGGUCGAAUGUGAUGGCAGUCUGAGACCACUUCAGAUAACUGGGUGUCGCCGGAGCAACCAUAUUCACCUCACGGUUGAUAACUUUCAGUCGACUUUCAACAUCAACAAAAAUCAUCAAGGUGGAAUUGACCUGGGGGUAUCCAUCAUCACUGUCUUUCUUGUCCUCAACUUUGUCUGACUCCUUUUCCUUAUCUUUGGGUUGUUUGCCCUGGAACUGCUGGAUCAAGAGCCGACACCGUCGAGUGGUAUGUUUCGGGUAAAUGAACUUACCCUCUUCAUCUUUCUUGGUGUGGAUGUGACAUGGCAAAUCCAACACAUCAUUUCCGUCUUGGUCUUUAACUUUCUUGGGGUUCCAAGGCCCUUUGGGUUUCCCCUUAAACUUUCCUUGAGUCACAGCCAAGGCCUCCCCAGGAGCAGCUGGCUCAGCUUUCCGCUUCUGUUUCCGAUUGGAAUUUCCUCCUCCGGUUUCUUGAGCGACUGACUUGUGUUUGCCACUCCGGAGUCGAUCCUCAUCUUCACCAUUAGCAUACUUGGUGGCAAUCUCCAUCAUCCGAUUCAGAGACAUGUCUCCGGUUCGACCGAAUUUCAAAUUCAGUUCUCUGUACUUGAUGCCUUCUUUGAAGGCACAGACCGCUUGGUGAUUAGGUACAUUCUCUACCGUGUGAUGUAACGUGAUCCAUCUCUGGAUGUAAUCCCUCAAAGUUUCAUUCGGCUUCUGCACGCAAGACCGCAGUUCCUUCAGCCCUGCCGGUCGCUUGCAUGUUCCUUCAAACGUGGUGACAAACACUCGGGCGAGAUCUUCCCAAGUGUAAAUGCUGCUGGGUGCUAAUUGAUUCAGCCACGCUCUGGACGAACCCUCCAACAUGAGAGGCAGGUGCUUCAUGGCCACUUCAUCAUUGCCACCGCCAAUCUGGACAGCCACUCGGUAGUCUUCAAGCCAAGUAUCAGGCUUGGACUCACCAGUGAACUUACUGACUCCAGUCGCCAACCUGAAGUUGGGAGGAAUCACAGCGGCCCUGAUGGCUCUACUAAAGCACUCUGGCCCCGAAACAUGUACUCUGAUGCUGAUAGGUGCAUCCCUGUCAUGACCUUCUCGGUGAGCUCUGUUCCUGUCGACCAAACCUUGAACGAGAAUGGAUCUCGCGUCAAAGCCUGGUUCCCUGGGGUCGACUAGAAACCUUCGCCCAACACUAUGAGGGCGCCUGUCAUCCUGCUGUCGAGGCACAUACGAUCCACUCCUCGGGGGAGGGGUAGGCACUCGACGUUAAUCGUCAUGAUCGAAUCGGUGAUCAUAUUGCUCACGAUUCCCGUACUAAUCACGCCGGUCCCCACGUCCCUCACGCCUCAGGGGCGAUCUUGGGCUAUGAGCCGACUGGAUUGUGUCUGCAGCAAUGGAUCUGCUAUGAAUCCUGUUCCGCGACUGAGAAACAGCGGAAUUCUGGUCUCCUGCUGCCCGGAGUAAUGCUCUGAUCUGCAUCAAGCCUCUGCCAGCCUCUGACUGGGAAGGAUGAAUCGACUCUGCUAUACGGGCUGCAGCUGCUAAAUUCUGAAUCGGAGUUUGAUAUACCUGCGGGGGCGGAAAGAGCUAACGUUGACUGGAUUCUAGAACCCGUUGUCGCGCAUGCUCGUCGAGUGCUCGCUGGAGGUUCUCCAGUCGAGUGCGCUCGGCCAAGUUUGCCAGGCGCACGUCCUCCAAGGCACGAGCCUCGGGGGUUUCUCCAACGAUAGGAGUGUGCAGUGCAUCCAUGUUCCAGCGACGAAGAUCUUCUCUCUGCAGCGACGUGAGAGGCUCGGGGAGAUAUUCCUCAUGGGGACGCGAUGGGUCGCCUCCACCUGCGCCUCAGUCGGUGCGGGGAAAACCGGGAGGACUGGGCGGUCCAUCGACCAUCAGAACCUCCGCCGCUGGAUCACUGUUGUCGCACUCGGAUGCGGUCUCUGCGGAGCCAGUCAAACAGGCCGUAGAGGGAUUCGUCGGGCUCGAUCGCCGCGACUUGAGGGGUGGCCGGCUGGCGUGCCACCGCGUGUCUCACCCACCGCUGAAGUCUCGACCGACCGGAGCGCUUGUGCCGGCAGGAAACAGGGAGGGAGGACAACACAGGAGCCGACCGAUAAUGGGUCGACGGUUUCCGCAAGAGGAUGCACGCGCGAAAGUGCGUUGCCCCGCGGACAGGGAGUGUGUCCACAUCGAGUGGAGCCUCCUGAAGCCAAGCGGAGUCGUCGGCGAUGAACGUCAGCACGCCGAGACGGAUCUCACGGCCCUCCACCAAAACUCCGCCAGGAACCAUGAUGAUUUGGAUCGGAAAAGAUCACAACUCCUCCAACAAAUCGCUAAAACACCUGCCCCACGGUGGGCGCCAACUGUCGUGGUUCUAAGUCUGACAGUAAUGUAGGGGGUAGGCAUGGAGAGGCAAGAUCUUAGCUAUGGAGUAGUUGUAAGCACACGAGGUUUACGAGUUCAGGCCCUUCUCAGAGGAAGUAAUAGCCCUAUGUCUCGGAGCCCGGAGGUGGUCGGCUGGAUUAUGCGUGUAUGAAUUACAGGGGUGCGAACCCUUUACACUGAGGAAGGGGGUGGCUUAUAUAGAGUUCGCCGGACCCCUCCGGCCCUCAGUUAUGCAGGGUUUUAAAUACAUUAAGGUCGGGCGUUACUGGUAACGCCCCUAAUAAAGUGCUAUGAUGACCAUAAAAGCUACUUAACGACCGACUGUUAGCGUGCGGAGUGACUUUAGGUCUCUUGGUCGUCGAGUGGUUGGAUCUUGGUCAAGUGAUUGCUUCUUCGUCGAGUGUCUUCGAGUAUGUCAAGUGGAACACCUCCAAGUCGAUUGAAAGGUGAUUUCUUCUAGAGAUGUCCUUGGGUAGGGCAGUUGGGACAGGUCCAUGACCCUACCCUAGGUACAUAGCUUCAUCAGGCACCUCUACAAAUCCCUGCUUCCCUCUGCGAAGGGCCUAUCCAUUUACUUUUAUGUUGAGUCAUCACCCUCUUAUUAAAAAGAACUAGCUGGAGAGCACAGCUGUCAUUUGCAUUCAUCACUAUUAAUCUAUGUUGGGUGUGACUAUGAUUGGAUCUCUUUUACCAUGAAUUACAAUGUCUAGUCAGUCCUUGAUCUUUAAAGGUGCUCUGCAUUUAUGUUUUACGGUCUCAGAAAGGGCUAGCGAGAUACCAUCUUGUUAUAUCAUAUUAUGAUUGUUUUGAGAAAGUGUUGUCAUCCGAGAUUUAUUAUUAUGGCUUGCUAGUUGAUUAUGCUAUUGAUAUGAGUAAUUAUGAGACCUGAGAAUUAUUGCAAAUGUGGUUAGUUAUGAUCUAUGCUGAAAACUUGAAUGCUGGCUUGACAUAGUUACAACAACAAGAGCAAACAGAGUUUGUAGAAGUUUUUUCUUUCUUUCUUUUAGUUUGUCAACUGAAUUGCUUGAGGACAAGCAAGGGUUUAUGCUUGGGGGAGUUGAUACGUCUCCGUCAUAUCUACUUUUUCAAACACUUUUGCCCUUGUUUUGGACUCUAACUUGUAUGACUUGAAUGGAACUAACCCGGACUAACGUUGUUUUCAGCAGAAUUGGCAUGAUGUUGUUUUAUGUGCAGAAAACAAAUAUUCUCAGAAUGACCUGAAACUCCACGGAACAUCUUAGAAAAAAUAAAAAAAAUCCUCGCCAAAGAUGAAGACCAGGGGCCCACACCCUGUCCACGAGGGUGGGGGCGCCCCCCUAGGGCGCGCCCCCCUACCUCGUGGGCCCCCUGGAUGCCCUCCGACGCCAACUCCAACUCUAUAUAUUUGAUUUCGGAGAGAAAAAAUCAGAGAGAAGAAAUCAUCGUGUUUUACGAUACGGAGCCGCCGCCAAGCCCUAAAACCUCUCGGGAGGGCUGAUCUGGAGUCCGUUCGGGGCUCCAGAGAGGGGGAUUUGUCUCCGUCGUCAUCAUCAACCAUCUUCCAUCACCAAUUUCAUGAUGCUCACCUCCGUGCGUGAGUAAUUCCAUUGUAGGCUUGCUGGACGGUGAUGGGUUGGAUGAGAUUUAUCAUGUAAUCGAGUUAGUUUUGUUAGGGUUUGAUCCCUAGUACCCACUAUGUUCUGAGAUUGAUGUUGCUAUGACUUUGCUAUGCUUAAUGCUUGUCACUAGGGCCCGAGUGCCAUGAUUUCAGAUCUGAACCUAUUAUGUUUUCAUGAAUAUAUGUGAGUUCUUGAUCCUAUCUUGCAAGUCUAUAGUCACCUACUAUGUGUUAUGAUCCGGCAACCCCAAAGUGACAAUAAUCGGGACCACUCCCGGUGGUGACCAUAGUUUGAGGAGUUCAUGUAUUCACUAUGUGCUAAUGCUUUGUUCCGGUUCUCUAUUAAAAGGAGGCCUUAAUAUCCCUUAGUUUCCAAUAGGACCCCGCUGCCACGGGAGGGUAGGACAAAAGAUGUCAUGCAAGUUCUUUUCCAUAAGCACGUAUGACUAUAUACGGAAUACAUGCCUACAUUACAUUGAUGAAUUGGAGCUAGUUCUGUGUCACCCUAUGUUAUAACUGUUACAUGAUGAACCGCAUCCGGUAUAAUUAUCCAUCACUGAUCUGGUGCCUACGAGUUUUCCAUAUACUGGUUUACGCUUAUUUACUUUCCGCUGCAACUGUUACAAUCACUACAAAAUACCAAAAACAUUACUUUUGCUGUCUUUACUUUUAUUUCCGCUACCACCACUAUCAUAUUACUUUGCUACUAAACACUUUGCUGCAGAUACUAAGUUUCCAGGUGUGGUUGAAUUGACAACUCAGCUACUAAUACUUGAGAAUAUUCUUUGGCUCCCCUUGUGUCGAAUCAAUAAAUUUGGGUUGAAUACUCUACCCUCGAAAGCUGUUGCGAUCCCCUAUACUUGUGGGUUAUCAGCGUCCACCUCCGUGGCCAUCAGUGUUGCCAAAGCGUCGAACAAAUCAGACAGAACUUGAGCCGGAGGCGGCGUAGAGCCCCCUGCUCCCGCUGGCGUUGCCGUCGCUGAACCGGAGAGCAUUGCCGCGGCGGUUGAUGAGUGGUGUGCUGAUUGUGUAACGGCCAUGAAGAUAGCGACCCGGUUUGGCAGAUCGAGGGGGUCCGGAAUACUGUUGCCAUCGGAACCUCCGCUAAUCUGGCCAUCCUGCAACUGAUACAGCGAUUCGGUCUCUCCAGUUGAAGACUCGUCGUCAGAACAGACAACAGUUUCUCCAUCAGAUGCCGGUCCAUCCUCAUAUUCCGCUCCAUGGAUGACACCUACAAAAACAUGCCUUGCUGCGGGCUAAACCGGGGAAGGGCUUGCACGCUGAGCCGUCUUGAUGAUGUCGGUGCAGGUGUCCGGCUCAGGGCCCGGUUCACCGGUCUUGCUGAUGAAGACGUGAAUCCCACCAAAGGGGACCCGGUACCCGUAUUCGAUUGAACCGGCCUCGGGACCCCAUCCUGCGUCGUCGAUGUAGAGCUUGCCACGACGACUCUUUGUCAUUUGGCCCACAGCGUAUCCCUUGAGUCCAUCAAAGCUGCCCUUCAAGAACUCGAAAUCAUCGUGCGAUAGCCCCACGAUGGGCGCCAACUGUCGUGGGUUUGUCACGGCAGAUGUCCUCGUGAAAGGACUUAAGUCGUGGAGCCAUCGCUACGGGUUAGCUUAAAGGGGUUAAACCGGACAAGGGGCGCGGGGGAUUUUAUACUAGUUCGGCCCCUUCGAUGAAGGUAAAGCCUACGUCUAGUUGUGAUUGGUAUUGCUAGGGUUUCGAUGACCAGGGAGCAAAUCCGCUUUGCCUGGCUCUCGAGUUAUUGUCUGUCGUCCCUAAAUCGCUGUCGGGUCAUCCCUUUAUAUACAUAGGUUGACGCCCACCGGUCUACAGAGUCCCGAGGCCGGAUCAUAAACGUGUCCGGCUCGGUCUCUAUUCCUCUAACUUACAAUAUAAGUUACAUGAAAGAGUCGGUUUACAUCUACAGGCCUUUAACCCGCCUUUGGGCCUUGGGCCUUCGUAAAGCGCCUCCAUCCUCACGUCUUCAUGGGCUUCUAUCUUCAUGGAGCUAACCCGGCCACUCCUAGACGGUUUACUCCGCGGCCCCCUCGGCCCCCUCAGUGCCCCCAGCCUCCUCGGCGCCCCCGCGCCUCCGGCACUUGUGGCCGGUCCGGUCACCCACGCCCGUACGGGUGUUUUUCGCCCGAGCUCGCGCUACGCCGCGGACGACUACGUCCAUGCGGCGUCCACCUCUGAGCCGUCGCCAUUGCCAUCCUUCGUCCGAGCAGCUCUUCGUGACCCGCUCUGGAUGGCUGCGAUGCAUGAGGAGUUUGACGCCCUGUUGCGCAACUGGACGUGGCAGCUUGUUCCCCGUCCUCGGCACGCCAACGUGAUUACCGGGAAGUGGGUCUUCAAACACAAGCUCCGUCCCGAUGGUACCCUUGAUCGUUAUAAAGCGCGUUUGGUCGUCCGUGGAUUCCGACAGCGUGCUGGCAUCGACUUCACCGACACCUUCGCUCCGGUCGUCAAGCCCGGCACGAUACGCACGGUUCUCCACCUUGCGGUCUCCCGUGCUUGGCCGGUGCACCAGAUGGACGUCUCCAACGCCUUCCUUCAUGGUCACCUCGAGGAGCAGGUCUUAUGCCAGCAUCCCAUCGGGUUCGUUGAUCCGGCACUUCCCGACCUCAUGUGCCUGCUUUAGCGGUCCUUGUACGGACUCAAGCAGGCUCUGCACGCUUGGUACAGCGCAUCGCGGCGUUUCUUCAUCAGCUUGGGUUCCGCUACACUCGCUCGGACGCAUCGCUCUUUGUUUAUCAUCAGGGCUCCGACACGGCCUACUUGCUGCUAUAUGACGACGACAUCAUCCUGACGGCAUGUACGACUGGCCUUCUCAGUCAGUUCAGGCUUGUCUUCGCGCUGAGUUCGCCAUCAAGGACUUGGGUCCUCUGCACUACUUCCUCGGUCUUGAGGUGGCGCGUCAUCCGGAUGGCUUCUUUCUUCAUCAUAGGAAGUACGCUCAUGAGCUCCUGGAGCGUGCUGGCAUUCUUAACUGCAAUCCCGCUGCCACGCCUGUUGAUACGAAGGCCAAGCUCUCUGCCACGGAUGGUUCCCCUGCUUCGGAUGCUGUGUUCUAUCGGUCUAUUGUUGGUGCUCUCCAGUACCUCACUUUGACUCGACCAGAGAUCCAGUAUGCAGUGCAGCAGGUGUGUCUUCAUAUGCAUGCUCCUCGGGAUGUUCACUAGGCCGCUGUCAAGCGGAUUCUCCGCUAUGUUUGUGGCACUAUGGAUCUUGGAGUCACGCUUCACGCCUCCGCCGACACCGCCCUCACAGCCUACUCCGAUGCAGACUGGGCGGGCUACCCUGACACACGUCGCUCCACCUCGGGCUAUUGUGUCUACCUUGGACCCUCCCUUAUCUCGUGGUCGUCCAAGCGGCAGCCUAUGGUCUCUCGCUCCAGUGCUGAGGCUGAGUAUCGUGCGGUGGCCAACGCCGUCGCUGAGUGUUCCUGGCUUCGUCAGCUGCUUCAGGAGCUGUCUUUCCCUGUUGACUGUGCCACGGUGGUCUACUACGAUAACGUCUCAGCGGUCUACCUCUCCGCUAACCCGGUGCAUCAACGACGGACCAAGCAUAUUGAGUUGGAUAUUCAUUUUGCUCGGGAACAUGUGGAUCUUGGUCAUAUUCGUGUUUUGCACGUCCCUACUUCCCAACAAUUUGCAGAUAUCAUGACCAAGGGCUUGCCUACGGCGUCAUUUGAGGAGUUCUGGUCCAGUCUUUGCGUCAGCCGCGGUGCCGCUUCAACUGCGGGGGGGGGGGUGUUGAGGAUAUCAUUUGUGCAUGUAUAUUGUCUUUUGUACAUUAGGCCCACCUCUCUAGUUUGUUGUAUAGAUUAAGGUAGAGGCCCCACAUUGUACUUAUAUAUACCGUGCACAUUGCACCGAAUCAAUACAUCGUGCAAUUCAUACAUCUUCACUCUUGACCUGGUGGCUAAGAUGAUAGCGGCCAAAGGCAAAGUUUGGCGACAUGCCGGCUUGUUAAUAGGAGAACUUGAGGACCUCUUCGCGGAGGAGAGCAAUGAUUUGGUACCCAGACUCAUCUGCACUCGAACUGAAGAAAAAAAAGCAAAAUAAAUACUAUUUUUUUCAAAAAAAAAUUCUUUUUUGCAUGGUAGAUAAUUUGAUGCGCGAGAUCCACUCCAAAUUUCAGAAUAUUCGAACAUCUAAAUAGCUCUCGGUAAAAAAAGAAAAAAUUAGAGUCUGUAAAAAAGUUUAUUGUUCAUGUACAGUCUGACCCAAUUUAUCUUUUUUGCUGAGAGCUACUCAUAUGUUCAAACGAUCUGAAAUUUGCAGCGCAGCUCAUACACCGAAUUAUAUAACAUACAAAACAAAGUUGAAUUUUUUGUGAAUUUUUUAUUGACCGGGUGCAGAUGACUCUGGGCUCAAAAAUGAAUAUUCGUUCGCGGAGUUGUUAUGGUGGGCAAGACGAGAGUAGUUCUCUUGGUAUCUCCUCGGCAGAUAGGCUGGUGUAUGCGUGAUGUGGGUUAGUGAAUUGUUGUUGGUGCUGUAGUUAAAAUUGUAACAACGGUGGUUUAGGUUCUUUACCAUAUUGGUGGCAUUGCUCGGAUAUAUUCAGACUAUUAUUUAGGGUGAAAACUUUGAUUCUGGCCUUUGUGGUUGGAUCCGGUGACGGCGGCGCUUGAGCGUCGCUUCCUUCCUGAAGGUGUUGCUGUUGAAGAUCAUCGGCCUCCAUAUAAUGUCAAUGGUUGGUGUGGACAUGGUCUCAGUUGUAGUUUGUCGAUUGCUGAUCUGAUCUCUUUGGAGCUUUUUACUUUUUCAUUUUCUUUUUUCCAUGCUUAUGCAUAGCUUUUGGUCUUGUGACCUUGCUAGUUGUUGGCGUGUUUAUGCGUAUGUGUGUGUGUAUGUGUUGGGUUGGCUGUGUGUAUCCUAGUUAUGCAGAGGCCAGGUGUGUGCUCAUAUUGUAUCUUCUCGAUACUUCAUUUGAGCCAAUAAAAUUCACCCUUUAUCGAAAAAUAAGUUUUAAAAUAAGUUUUUCUAAGAUUAAUUUUUUUAAAGCAAGUUUUAGCACACUAGGGGCUUAGGGCAUCUCAAACGCUAUCCCCUAGAACGAGCACUUAUACGGUAGCCAGUCAUCCAAUGCUAGCCGUAAAUAUCUGGCCGUAAUACAAACACAUUAAGACAAAAUUGAUCCAAACACGACAGAAUUCAUUUAAGUUCUGAUAUAAUUUAUAUAAAACGGACAAUAUUUCAACCGUUCAAGUAAAACCUUAAAAAAAACUUAAACUAGAUUGUAGUGGACGGUUACCUCGUACAUGUGGCCGCAGUGGCGGAGCCAGAAACUAAAUAUAUAGAAGGCCAAAACAUGUCAUAUAAUGUUAGAGGGGGCCAAAUUACCUAAACGUAGCUAAAUUUGUCUGACAAAUGAAAAAUUAGAAGUACAUAUAGAUGUAUUUGUAAGAGCAUAGGGGGCCUUGCCCCUGCUAGCACCCCCUGCCUCCGCCACUGUGUGGCCGGUCUGGCUGAUGGCACCUCCGUUGUUGCAUGUAUCAUCAAUUCAUCAUUGUCGGAGUGGCCCCUCCAGUGGAAAGAUCUUGACACAAAAAUGCUACAGUGAAAACUAUUCAUGAUUUGAACGCACGGUUCAAGUAAUAAAAUGUUUUGACAAAAAAUGAAUUUACGAAAAUAGCACAAACAAAACCACCCAUGCCUCUUGUUGAACGCUCAUUGUGUCAAUAUCAGGGCAACGCACAGGGCGCAUCCAGGCUGGAGUAGCCCAUUGGCACACAAAGCACAUGAUUACUGUAGCAGCACAAACCAAACAAUAUAUGAAAAAAUCAAGAAAUUUUUUUGGAACAUGCUUUUUUUAACUAUGAAGAAAAUAAAUCUUCAGAACAUUUUUUAAAACAUGAGAAAAUAUCAAAAAAAUUGAACACCUUUUCAAAAUUAUUAAUAUUUUUAGAAUCUUCAGAAUACUUUUGACAAGCUAAACAAAAUUUGAAAACCAUGAACAUUUUUUAAUUUCCCUUUUUUAAAUGGAAAUAUUUUUAGAAUAUGUGGUUUUUUAUUGAAAAUGCAUACAUUUUUUAAAAUAUAAAUUAAAAUGAACAAAAAUAGAACCAUUGAAGAAAGCAACAAAAAAACCCGGUUCCAAAACCUUCUUGAAGGUUCCCAAAACCGGAACAAGAAACCCUCUCGCUGAAUCUUGAUGGGUCGGCACGUCACAUAUGGCACAUGAGCCUCUUCUACGUGAAAGGUUGGCAUUUUGACACAACGAGCGUCAAUUAGAAAAUUCUAUAACAUUAGUGAGCAACUAAUUAAGGGGUAUCCCUUCGGGGGAGAACCCAGCGGACACUUUGGGUUGGCUAUGAGGGCACCACUUGGUGCACCCCAGCCGCCAUCACGUGUCAUGUGUUGGUGCACACCAUGGGAGCAUGUUUUUUUCUCUCUUCAGCAUGCAUGAUUAUUUUUGUAUUUGUUCAUGUUUUUCGGUUUAUGCUUGGCUUUUCCUACAUUUUUCUCUGGAAAAAUUAUUUAUUAUUAUUACUUUUCUCGUGCGAAGCAUAAUUUGUGCUUUCAAAAAAGGAAAAGGCACAUAUGUGCGAAAAGCACAUAUGUGCUUACCCAAGAAGUAUAAUUAUGGUUAUUGAAAAGGUAGAAGCACAAUUUUGCUUUCGUGAGAACAUAAUUAUGCUUUUUGAAAAGGCAAAUCACAAUUGUGCUUGCCAAAAAAAAAGGAAAAACACAGCUUGUGCUUCACGAAAACGGAAAAGCACAACCCGUGUUUCUGCAAAAAGCAUAGUUGUGCUUCCCAAAAGUUUUGGUGAUUAAAGCACAACUAUGCUUCCAGGUUUCGGCCUUUUUUCUGGUUUCAAUUUUUAAUUUAUCUUUUUAUUCCCAGUUUUUCGACAAAAAAAGUUCAUCAAAACUCAUUAAUAUGGGAUCUAGUUUCAAAGAUCUCGAUGCGAUAAAUCUAUAUGGACCAUACUAUUAUCUUCCUUUUUAUUUUAAAGGGUGAUGCACAUACAACGGCCAAUCGAGCCAACCAAUUUGAGGUAAUUUUUCCUUCCAAAAAAACAGUGAUUUUGGCAAUGAAUAGAAUAGGUGACUUCCAACUUCUGAACGUAUAUUGUUAUCACUGGAGCCGACGAGCGUUAGUAACUGAUUGCAAGCCUGGUUCUUUAAGAAAUAACUAGAGCGACAGAUUUAUUUAUUUUUCUUUUCAAAAUUGUAUAUAAUUCUCAAAACACGAAAAUAAAAUAAAAUACAUGAACAACUUUUGAAAUUCCAAACUUAAAAGAAACACAAACAAUUUUUUGACACUGUGAACAGAAUUUUCAAAUGUUUUUUUAAAACUGUAUUUUUAAAAAAAAUGCAAUCUUAGUUGAAAUUCCUCAACAAUUUUGAAUUUGUGAAAAAAAAUUGAAAAAAAGGAACGACCUUUUGAAUUAUGAACAUUUUUCGAAAUUUCCAAAUAUUUUGUGAAAAGUAAGUAUAACUUGAAAAAGAAAAACGAAAAACAGAAAGAAAAAAAAAGAAAACCAAAAACCCAGGGGGAAAACCCGGCUCACGAAUCUUCCAAACCAGAACCAACAUAAAACAUUGAAUGGGCUGGCCCAACCGAUCUCUAGCAGCCUCCGCCCGUGCGUUUCAGCGACACUCUGUGGCGUUAAGCGUCAUAUAGGGAAUUUGCCAUUUAUCUACCCCCUAGAAAAAGUCCCAUUUAUCUCUUUUUUUUAAUUGAAAAGGGUCCCCAUACUACUAUCUCGUGCAUUUCUCCCUCUCCCUCUGAAAAUUCACAUAGUAACAGAAAAUAUCUCUAGGCCUUGACGCCGUAUCUUGCACGCGAGACAGGCAGCACCAGUAUCUGAACUGCAGGUGAAUUAUUCAGGCAUGCUACUCCGUGCAUUCCUGAUCGCUGAUAUCUGCGUGGGUCAAAGUAAAAUCUCCAUCCAUGUCUGUGUGUUCGAGCGCGCACGAUGUUACGUGCAAAAAGGCUAUGAAUGGCCCACGAAUGGGACGGCGGAAUUGCUCGGCUCCAUGGAAACCUCGCAUUCCUUGAUUUCCUGCAAAUGGCUCAGGGUGAGUGGAUGGACGCGCGUGCACGGGUUGGUUCCAAGGAAAGGCUUUUUGCGUUGCGCCUCAGAUCACAACCUCCCUCCUACGGCGCACUCCCCUCACCACGCAACUUGUGGUCUGCUGUUAACCGAUACUGAACUUCUCGUCGGUCAAAUUCAAUCGAAGAAAUUCUUUACUUGGCCGAUGGUAAGCAGCCGCUCCGUUCCUUGGCGCCACAAAUAACCGCUGCUUUCCUGCAGUCCGCGCGUUUUACCCUGCGACUGCGAGAGCCAGGUUUUUUUUAUAUUUUUGUUGAGGGAUGCGAGGGCCAAGUUGGACGCCCCACUGUGACAGCUGCGCACACACAAAUCAGAGGACGCCGGCCGGGCCCAGCACGCCCCCUGCAGUGACUCCACAGCAACGGCUACCCCAUCCUUUGAAUUUUCGUCCUCGAUCUCAAUCUCCCGCAACCGUCCGAAUAACGCGUGUGUCCGGUCACGUCUUUCGCCUGCAAAUCGAGGAGGUUUUCGGAUGUCCGAACCAUUACCAUGCCUACUUCCAAUAAACCUGGCACAUCAAAAACCAUUUUCCUCGUCUACGCGCUUUUUUCGUUUUAAGUCAGCUGCGCGCAUUCAUGCCACUCUAGAGUGACCACUUGGUAUUGACACCGGUCCAGAGCAAACAUGAUCUCUCAUUGUCAUCUGCAUUGAAGCGGCUCGCCGAUUGAUGGCGCCGUCCAUAUUGUGUCCCCGGUAUUCAUGCAUGUUUACUGACUGAAAGACGUUUAUUAGAUAGAACGGAACAGAUAUCUACCACAUCCGUUCAAUAUUCAUUUGUUUAUCCGCCGCCAUUAAAUAGGCUUGUCGGUCAGGAAACCAACUUUGUGCCCACGCAUUGACGCACUCAGACGCUUGACCUCAUGGGCAUCCGCUAUUUAAAGGCGGCCCACCCGGCUCACACCGCAACCAAUUCGCUCCACAUCGUACUCCCGUGUACCACAUUCAUCAUGACCGCGAGCGAGAACGCGUUGUGGGAGAGCCUCUCGACAAAGCAAAAGCGUGAGGUGGCCGUCCUUGCGGCCGGCUGGCAGAGCCGCCAUGCGACGCGGAUAGAGGCCGGUACGCCGGCCAGCUCUUCAGAUAGAGGCCGACGACAACUCCACAAUGGAGACAGGCUCCGACGACGACUCUGAGCUGCAGCUUGCGCCUGUGCAUGGUGGCUUCACGAAGGAGCUAGCACAAACGCACUUCAACACCGCCAUGGCGGAGGAGUAGCCGGUGCCGGCGCCUAUGUCGACAUUCUGGCGGGCGCGGGAGGAGCAACGGUUUUUAAGUUGUUCCUACUCGAGCAGCACCGAUCGGCGGAGGGCCAAAUCUAUGUCGAGCGCGCAAGCAAGGAAACCUUGUCGGCCAUGGCCACUACGAACCCACUCUACGAGGCCGCCCACGCUCACACCGCCGAACGUGGAGACGGAGCUGGCAACCGUGGGAGAACGCCGUCAGCUGCACAUUCUACGUGCCGCCAAACAACGUUUGGCCACGCCGGUGGCACAAGGAGAGCGUGCCGCCAAACAACGUUUGCCACGCCGGUGGCACAAGGAGAGUGUCUGCAUGUACACGUACACGAUGAGGAUGAGUAGAGCAUGGGAGGCGGCGGGGCCUCGAGUCCCAAAUGGGUCAGUCUGUCUCCCAUAUUCUACUCUUCCUCUUGCCGGCGACCCGCACCUUCACUUCACGGAUCUUAUCAACGCCACUCAUGAAGACAGCAAGAUGGACCCGGUGAUCGCCGAAAGGGAACAACAAGGACGUGAGGGAUGGGCGCCGCCAUAGGCUAGGUUUAGGUCUGAUCGCUUUUUUAAUUGAAAAAUAUCAAAAAUAAUAAUAAAUGUGCUCCAGUUUAGAUAAAAAUUGCUCGGUUUGUAUGUUAUUUGUCCGAUUUGUUGAAAUCUGGUUGAAAAUGUAUAUGGCUAUAGUUGGAUGGCCGCUCUCCAUCAAUAUCCACAGACUGGUCUCCCCAGUUCACGGAUAGGUAUGGUGUACGGUUUGGACGUCGGUAUUGAAGAUGCCCUUAUGACCAGCUGCGAAAAUAAGAUGGACUAUACCUAGUUUAUUCUAGAAGUCCAAUCUAUUUUUUAGAAGCUUAGUAAUAAUUAGUAGGGUUCUAAAAUAGAACCUCCAUUACUAAAUUUAAGAUGUUUUUCAGUUAAGAAACGCCUUGUGUUUACAUACGGAGUUAGUAAAAUUUUAGAUUGGUUUUUUAAAAUAAGCUAGAGAUCAGGAAGGGGACAACUUAUUUCUACAGCCAGCCAUAAGCAAAAAAGAAAAACUGGCACGUAGACUUGUGUGUCCCAUGUCACCCCUCCCUACCCACACUGCUUCAGUUGCCUCGGAGAUAUCAGGUGCUCCCAAGCUUGGGGUAUUCCCAGUGCUUCAAAUUCAAAAAAACAUUCUUAAAUGUUUCAAAAAAUCUAACAAAAAUUCUGAAUGUUCAUAAAGUAUGUCACUACAACCCUUAAAAAAUUUUGGUCCAAACUCCAAACGCACAUUGACAAAUAAAAAUGUGAAAUCUAACAUGAAUAGUGUAAAAAAAAGACAAAAGCAACAUUGACACUAUUCAUAUCCGGAUUUCACUUUUUUGUUUCUCAAUAUGCAUUUUGAGUUUGGAUCUGAAAUUUUGAGGGGUUGUAGUCACAUUCCUUAUGGACAUUCACAUUUUUUGGGGGGAAUUUUUUGAAACAUUUAAAAUUUAUUUUUCUGAAUUUGGAGCACCCGGAGUACAUCAAGCUUGGGAGCACAUGAUACUUUCCCUCAGUUGCCUUGCCUACCAACUUGUGUUUACUGUUAACCGCUACCAACCAACCGACGCGCACCGCCGUAUGGUGAUGCUAAUUGUCGAGUAUCAUGUGUACAGAAACGAGCCUCCUAGGUUUAUUUAGGAAAGCCUUCAUAGCACACUUCACUGAUAAUCAAAGAAAGAUACAUCAUUUAUGAGAGCGUUAAAACCAGUCUCCUAGGUAGUUAGCCUUCUCUAAGAGCAACUAUAGUAGAUCCCUUAAAAGCUACUCCCUCCGUCCCAUAAUGUAAGACGUUUUUUAACACAACACUAGUGUCAAAAAGCGUCUUACAUUAUGGGAUACAAGGAGUAUUAUAUUUUAGAGGAAUUGUUUUUAGCGAUUAAGUAUCAUCUAGCAGANNNNNNNNNNNNNNNNNNNNNNNNNNNNNNNNNNNNNNNNNNNNNNNNNNNNNNNNNNNNNNNNNNNNNNNNNNNNNNNNNNNNNNNNNNNNNNNNNNNNNNNNNNNNNNNNNNNNNNNNNNNNNGGGCCGGUCCUGAGAUUUCGGGGGCCCGGGGCGAAACUAAAACCCAGGGGCCCUUGAUUUAAGCAUCGAAAUAAUGUGUUAUGGAGAAAAUAGACAACAAUGCGCGAUGCAAAGUCUUGUUUAAUGUCAUGCUUGAACUUCAACUAUGGGAGUACAUUAUUUUAGAUACUGAACCAAAACAACAGAAGCCUCCCCGAAUAGUCCACAAGGAAUUUGCGUCCAAAUUGCAUUGUUGGAUUCACAUUUUUGAGUUCUUGGAAUGACUAUGGUACGACUAUUACUACAAAUAGGAGUAUCUGAGAAAUUAGAUAGAUGAUCGAAAUUCAUACGAGUGGUGUGGAAAAUAUUUCUUCGUAUCUUCAAAAGUUAAAUACCUUCGUAUCUUUAAAAAGUAAAUAUAUGGUGCCACGCAUGCAAAGUUACUCACAUUUAGCGAAUUGUGCAAAUGAUUAAAUUAAGAGUUAAUUACCCAAUUAUGACGUCAUCUCAUUGCUCAAUUCAACCAACUGCCAUGAGAGAAUCCAGAUCCUCGUUCUGCGCUUGAUCUCUUUGAGAUCUACUGCGGGAACAUCAAUAUUACAGAACCAGAACGGUUAAUUGUACAAACAGUGAAAGAUGUUGACCUGCCGGUAAUACUCACCUUUGUAGAGACGACACUCCGGCGCCGGAGAUCAGCUCCAUAGAUCAUGUGCGCGCCUGAGAUCAUGUGCACCGCGCCCCUUGGGAUCUGGGUCUCAUCUUAUACUGCUCUUCUGGUUCACUACGUACGUUUUUUAUGGCGGAAAGGCGGCGGCUAUUACGUGCGUGAUGGCGAUUUUUUGGCGAUGCAUGCGUGGGUUGGCAGUUGAUGCGUGAGUUAUGGCGAUAUAUCAGACUCUCCAUAUACGUACGUUUUUUGAAGAACUUCCAUCUACGAUACGUAGCUGCUUCUACUUGCGAUGGGCCAGGCACACUGAACUUUUUUUUACUGCAGUCAAAUGGGCCAAAUACAAGGAAAUACAUACUUGGGGGCCCCUCCACCUUGGGGGCCCGGGGCGGCCGCCCCCCCUGCCCCCCCUCAGGGCCGGCCCUGAAUAUAGUCUAGAGUGGGCACUUCUCAGAAGAAGAAAAAGGGAACACGCUGUGUUGCUCCCCACUCAUCCGCUGCUUUGCCACUCGAUCCGGCCACCGUCACUUGCCCUCCAUCGAUUGCCCCUAGCCCCAAUGACCGCUGGAAUGGACAACUCCACCAUCGUUGCACCCUUCGCCACCCUUGUCAACGUUGAAGACCCAUCGCCAAUCGCAAGUUUGGCACCACAAGGACCAAAUCAACAAACGCCAAGUGAAGAGAUUGAGAGCUAUCGGUCGCCAGAGGUGGUCGUCGGUAGCUCCACCACCACCAUCCUACAUCCCUUGUCCACCUAGAGUCGCGCAAUGACCCUUCCACCUCUAGUGGCCGAAGACGAGACCGGUUCAGACGAGACAAAGAGUGAAGCCGAUGUUCCCAAGGAUAUCCCUGCAAGGAACAAACAUACUUCUUAUUUUGCAAUUGCUCAAUUGAAUGAUGCAUGAUUUGAUAUUGAUUGCUAGGUGAGCAAUGAAUGAUGAUGUAGAUGAUUUCAUUGCUAUAGGGUGCUAGUUGGAAAUGAGAUGUGGGCAAGAAGGAACUUUCAAACACAUCGAAGAGGCAAAGGCCCAACACACAAGUUGACGAUGACUUGGUAGAGAACCCAUCCACUCCUCAACUUCGGACAGAUGGAAAUAAAAACUCAAAGCUAGCCAAGAAGCAUGUUGUUCGAGCAUACAAUGAGGAGUUAAUUGCGAUGUUGGAGGUAAAUAGGUCAUUGGCGGCCAACCGGAAAGAGGAGAAGAUGGUUUGUUUCUAUGAGAUGAAGAUGAUGGAGGGGGAGAAGAUGGACAUGGAACAAUUAUCAUGUGGCAUGGAAAUGUCAAUACAAACAACAUUGACAUGAUCCCAACCAUCAAUAUUGAGGCAGUUACAUCACAUGAUCUAUGGAUCUAACAUGCAUACUUCGGGAUGCUUGGCUCCAAAACAUGACCUCAAUGUCAUGCAAUGAUCCCAUCCUUUUGCAAGGCUAUUUGCCGGUGAUGCUCGAACUUGUAACUAUGUUGUCAAUGGCCAACAGUAUAACCUGAGGCACUACCUUGUUGAUGGUAUCUACCCUCCUUGAGCCACAUUUGUGAAGACCCAACAUCCUCAAGGUAACAAGAAAUCUCACUUAGUGUGCCAAGAAUCUACUAGGAAGGAUGUUGAGAGAGCUUUUGGUGUGCUUAAAAAACGCUUUGCAUUUAUCCAUGGCCAUGUUGAGUUUGAAGCCUAAAAGCCUUUGACAGGUCGUGACAACAUAUGUGAUCUUGCACAACAUGAUCAUAGAGGUCGAGAGAGAUGACACGGAGAACUUGCGGCGUCUACAAUGGUGUCAUGGCGGAGCCUGAACGUCAUGCAAACAUGAUCCAAGCAUUCCUCCAAGCACAUUGAAGGAUCAAGAACCUAGAAGCAUACAACCAGCUCCAUGAAAAUCUUAUUGAGCACCGUUGGCCACUUCAUAGCACUUGAUUCUUACGUUUUUAUCAUGUUUUCUUUUGGAUUGUUAUUUCAUUUGAACCAUAUGUUGUGUUCGAAUUUGAACGAUUAAGUCUGGAAAACAUUAAAUUUGAUAUGUAGUUCAAGUGUGUGUACUUGAAUUCUUAAGUUUCGAAUCAAGAUGUUGUGAUAAUAUAUUUUCAUUCAGGUUUGAAUUGUACUCUACUUAUUUUUUGAGAGCGUGAAAAUGGGGCGUCAUUGAGCCUAAAGCUGCAGUAUUCAUUAGAGGUGUGCACUUCUAAUGAGAUGCAUUUCUAGUUUGUAGCUUAUAUACGAACUGAUUUGGAGAACGAUUAUUGUUGAAUGCCCGAUUGCCCAUUCAUUCGUACGGCUUAGCAUGAUUUCAAGCAAGUCAUGAAUGGACAAUCCAUACAACGGUAUCUGGCCUGGCGUAGUACACGGAGAGACGCAACAACGGCACGGCACCACCGUCCGUCCGUCACACACGGAGGGGUACGCAACCCAUCAGGCCGCCCCUACACUCCAAGGGAAGAUUUUGCGCCCCAGAACCAUUGGGUUGGAUCUUCCCUUGCCGAUGAUAACCAACCGCUCCGUUCCUUCGCGCCACAUAUAACCGCUGCUCUCCUGCCGUCCGCACGCUACUCGGUUUCACUUUCACCCCGCAAAGCCAAGCUGGAGAGCGCUGGACGCCCCAGGGUAAUGGCUGCCCACAGACCGAGUCACCGGAAGAGCCAGCCGCGGGUUACGCCGUGGGCCGUCGCGCUCGCCCACCACCCCGCGCUGUGUCGCCUAGCCCGGAGCUCAUACCGUCCGUCCGUCGCCCCCGACCCCUCUUCCUACCCGGGCCCGCCCCCGCUGCGGCCGCAACCACCACGGGCCCGCCGCGCCCAGUCGAGGCCCCACACGUCGGCGUUCAUCACGUGCCUCAUCGGCCCUGCUCGCCGGAUAUAUAUCUCGCGCCAGCCGUGCCCGCAGUGUCAGUCAGUGACUCAGUGAGUGACGCGACGCGCUUGCCCGUACGCUGCCAGUCCGCCUGAGAUAUUUCUCUCUCUCUCUCUCUCUCUCUCUCUCUCUCUCUGGGGUGAGGGUGAGGGACUGAGGGUAGACCGCGGGUGCCCGUGAUGCUGCUGCGGAGCGCGUCCUCGCCGCUGCUCAACGCGGCGCGCGUGCCGGCGGCCGCGGCGGUGGAGCAUGUACUGGGCCACGGGCACCUCGCGGUGGCGUCGCCGGCGGGGCAUCACGGGCCGAGGCAGCAGGGGGCGCUGUGCCGCGCAUUGUCCGAGGCCGAUCUGCUGGCGCCGGUGCAGCUCCCGGCCGCCUCCGCCUUCCUCGAGGAGUUGGACGAGGAGGAGGCGCAGCAGGAGGACGAGGACGUGGUCGCGGUCGGGGUGGCGGCCGUGCCGCUGCGCCGGCUGCUGACGAGCACGGGGCUGGACGCCGCGGGGGAGGAACAGGAGGCCGGCGCCGGCGGAGCCCUGGCGCUCCUCGAGGGCGUCGGGGGAGGCGGCGGGCGCGGGAGGGUGUGCGGCGGCUGGCAGGGCGGCCGCGGAGGAGACGGGGACGGCGACGGCGACGGAGGUGACCGCGGCGCCACCGACGCGCACUACCGGCGGAUGAUCAGGGCCAACCCGGGCAACUCGCUGCCGCUGGGGAACUACGCCAGGUUCCUCAAGGAGGUGCAGGGGGACGCGGCGAGGGCGCAGGAGUACUGCGAGCGCGCCAUCGUCGCCAACCCCGGCGACGGCGACGCCCUGGCGAUGUACGCGGGCCUCGUCUGGGAGACCAGCCGCGACGCUGAGCGCGCCGACGCUUACUACAGCCGCGCCGUCCAGGCCGCGCCCGACGACUGGUCAGUCAGCCAAACAACUCAGCGCGCCACUUCGCUGCUUCCUUGCUUGGCAUGCGUGACAGUUUCUCGCUGUGCUUCUCUUGCAGCUAUGUCCUGGGAUCCUACGCCGGGUUCCUGUGGGACGCCGAGGAGGAAGACGGUCUCAACGACGGGCAGCCUCCGGCGGGGUCGCCGCCGUUCUAUGGGGCAGCGCAGCCAUCCUCCAUCAGAGCGGCUUCUUAGACGAAGAAUCAAUCUCACUACCAGUAAACAAACUACAUCUGGAACUCUGCAAGGAAGAGCGACAUGCCACGAUCACAGCGGCCUCUGAGGGAGGCCGCCACCGCCGUCGCCGGCCGGGACGCGGCAGCUUGUAAACUGAAUAAACCAAGUCCGGCUACCUGUGUGAGCAGUACGCUUCUAAGGUUGGUAGGAUCUGCAGCACUGCAGGAUAAAUAUGUAGCCUAAUAAGGUUUUGCUGUGCCUGUACAUGUAGAAUGUUCCUGAUAACAUGGUGUACGUGGUGUAUGUACCACUUGUGAAUUACAGUAAAUGCCAGAACCGAUUGCCCCAGCAGUUCAGCAGAAGCAGAUCCAUCUUCCAUGUAGGAACAGAACACAAAAUUACACUGAAUGCACCAAGUUCAUAGCAAAAUUGGCACAAAUUUUGCAGUAAAAGAAGAAAAGGGAAAACUCAUGCAGGAAAAAGAAGUCUCGCGGCUUGGAAAUACAAGGUAGUCAUAUGCAAAUGUUACUAACUACAAAUAACACCACUCCCUUGUACUGUUUGAAAAACAACACAAACUGAGAAGAUAAACAGUACAUUGGCUGCUUGCCAUGCUUCAAACUCCAGGUGAUCACACUAAUUCAAGCACAUGAUACCAGCCACAAGUUUACUACCCAAAUGACAAAAAUGCAGACAUGGGAGGCUGAGGCAUGACUCUCAGCUUUCCGAAAGACUGGACUCAAGACUGUUUUCUAU
RNAcentral lists this long non-coding RNA (40433 nucleotides) under Triticum aestivum (bread wheat). RNAcentral's name for it is "long non-coding RNA (TAES_LNC015043)". The record is from RNAcentral. Lineage: Eukaryota; Viridiplantae; Streptophyta; Magnoliopsida; Poales; Poaceae.